GGAGGCAGCAGUGGGGAAUUUUGGACAAUGGGCGCAAGCCUGAUCCAGCAAUGCCGCGUGCAGGAUGAAGGCCUUCGGGUUGUAAACUGCUUUUGUACGGAACGAAACGGUUCUUUCUAAUAAAGAGGGCUAAUGACGGUACCGUAAGAAUAAGCACCGGCUAACUACGUGCCAGCAGCCGCGGUAAUACGUAGGGUGCGAGCGUUAAUCGGAAUUACUGGGCGUAAAGCGUGCGCAGGCGGCUUUGCAAGACAGAGGUGAAAUCCCCGGGCUCAACCUGGGAACUGCCUUUGUGACUGCAAGGCUAGAGUACGGCAGAGGGAGAUGGAAUUCCGCGUGUAGCAGUGAAAUGCGUAGAUAUGCGGAGGAACACCGAUGGCGAAGGCAAUCUCCUGGGCCUGUACUGACGCUCAUGCACGAAAGCGUGGGGAGCAAACAGGAUUAGAUACCCUGGUAGUCCACGCCCUAAACGAUGUCAACUAGGUGUUGGGUGGGUAAAACCAUUUAGUACCGGAGCUAACGCGUGAAGUUGACCGCCUGGGGAGUACGGCCGCAAGGUUAAAACUCAAAGGAAUUGAC
Molecule: ribosomal RNA, 579 nt
Filed under: uncultured bacterium
Lineage: Bacteria
Description: bacterial SSU rRNA
Rfam family: Bacterial small subunit ribosomal RNA
Source: RNAcentral